This 66-nucleotide transfer RNA is filed under the name Cucujoidea sp. 44 KM-2017. RNAcentral's name for it is "tRNA-Asn". The record is from RNAcentral. Lineage: Eukaryota; Metazoa; Arthropoda; Insecta; Coleoptera.
UUAAUUGAAACCAAAUAGAGGUAAAUCACUGUUAAUGAUUUUAUUGAAUUAAUGAUUCCAAUUAAA